Long non-coding RNA from Canis lupus familiaris (dog), 1833 nucleotides. RefSeq lists it as uncharacterized. The record is from RefSeq and is a predicted model, not a curated record. The transcript has 3 exons. Lineage: Eukaryota; Metazoa; Chordata; Mammalia; Carnivora; Canidae.
GGCAGAGGGAGCAGCAGGCUCCAUGCAGGGAGCCUGAUGUGAGACUUGAUCCCGGGUCUCCAGGAUCCCACCUUGGGCCAAAGGCGGCACUAAACCGCUGAGCCACCGGGGCUGCCCAGGGGAGCCCCAUUUGAAGGGUGCAGUCCGCUGCAGAAGUUCUAAAUGCUUGCAGCUUGGGGAACUCCUGUCUGAAAUAAGCUCUGUUUUCUUCAAAAACAGAUUUUUAAUUUUCUCUCCCUCUCACGGUUUGGAGUUGGCUGACACUUUUAGGAGAAAGUAACACUCCAUAGCCUGGAUGAUACUGGAUGAGAUUGUAUUAGCUACCCCGAGUUCUUUUGAGAGAGAGAGAGAGCACAAGCAAGGAGCAGCAGGCAGAGGGAGAAGCAGACUCCUGGCUAAGCAGGGAGACUGAUGUGGGGCUCGAUCCAAGGGUCAUGACCUGAGCCUAAGGCAGACGCUUAACCAACUGAGCCACCCAGGCACCUCUUCUAUUAGUCUUCAUUUCUGCCUCCAUUUCUGUGUUUGCAUCUGGGAUCUUUUUCAUUCUGCCUGAAAAUUUCUAAGUUUUCUCUGCAUAAGGAUACAAAUUAUUUCUUUUUGCUUGUCUGGAAAUGUCUUUUUGGUACCUUUACUUUGAGGAUUAUUUUCUCUGAGUCUAGAGUUCUGCAUUUCUGUCAAUUGCUUGUUUUCCAGUCCUUUACAGGCUUUCUUCCCUUGUCUUCCAGCUCCUGUUGUUUGUGUUGCGAAGUCAUCUUUACCUAUUACUGUUUCUCAUUUGAAGUUAAUGUAUUUUUUUUUUCUGUUUUAAUUUUUUCUUGUUGCUCAUUUUGUUUGCAGUUGUUUGUCUAUGAUAUUCUUAGGUAGGAUUUUUCCUUUGUAUUUAUUCCUCCUUGAGUUUGCUUAAUCCUUGUUUGUUUGUUUUGGAAAAUUGUCACCCAUUUUUUUUUCUAUUUAAAUAAUUUUUCUGUCUUUUCAUUUUCUGGGACUUUAGUUACAUAAUAUAUUAGAACGUUAUGCCUUAUUCAUGUGGUAUACAUAAAUACAUGAAAUAUAUGUAGGUAUAUGGCCUAUUUAUUGAUUGAUCUAUCUUAUCUUACCCUCUUUCUAUAUUUUCCUUAUUUUUUAAUUUCCUUGCUUCAGCCUGUAUAUUUUCUGUUGAUGUAUCUUCCAUUUGACUGAUCUUUCCUUCUGCUGUGCCUAAUUUGCUCCUGAGCCCACCUGUUGAGUUCUUAAGUUCAGUUACUGAAUUUUUCAGUUUUAAUAUUUCUAUUUGAAUUGUUAUUGGUGAAAUUUUCUAUUUUGUUAUCCAUUUUAUAUUACAUAUUAAUUAUAGUUAAAACCAAGAUUUGGUUCAUGUGGCAAGCAGAACUGUGAGAUGGGCCCCAAAUUCUACCCCUCUCUGACCCAUGUACAUUGCAUGUAUAAUCCUCUCCCUCUUGAAUGUGUAAAUUUGGUGGGAUAUCACUCCCUGAUUAGGAAUAAUCAAGUUACACUGUAUAAUAAAUGUGAUGAGAUAAUCAUUUCUGUGAUAAGACUUCUUCAUAGCAGACUAAAGAGAGACUCUCCUGCUGGCUUUAAAGAAGUAAGCUGCCAGUUUGUGAGAUGAUCACAUGGCAAGGACCUGAACGGGGCUCUAGAGCUGAGCAGCCAAGAAAAUGGAGCCUUCAAUUCUUCCAAAAAUCUGAGCUUGGAAGAGGAUCCUAAACACCAGAUAAGGAUGCAGCCUCACUGUCUUCAACCUUGUGAGACUCUCAGCAGAGAACCCAGUAAUGCUAUGCAUGGAUCAGACCUUUAGAAACUGUGAGAUAAUAAAUGAAUGUUGUUUGAACUCUC